UGAGGAAUAUUGGUCAAUGGGCGAGAGCCUGAACCAGCCAAGCAGCGUGCAGGAUGACGGCCCUAUGGGUUGUAAACUGCUUUUAUAUGGGAAUAAAGCGAGGGACGUGUCCCUUAUUGCAUGUACCAUACGAAUAAGGACCGGCUAAUUCCGUGCCAGCAGCCGCGGUAAUACGGAAGGUCCAGGCGUUAUCCGGAUUUAUUGGGUUUAAAGGGAGCGUAGGCUGUUUGUUAAGCGUGUUGUGAAAUGUAAGAGCUCAACUUUUGGAUUGCAGCGCGAACUGGCAGACUUGAGUGCGCACAACGUAGGCGGAAUUCAUGGUGUGGCGGGGAAAUGCUUAGAUAUCAUGACGAACUCCGAUUGCGAAGGCAGCUUACGGGAGCGCAACUGACGCUAAAGGUCGAAGGUGCGGGUAUCGAACAGG
Molecule: ribosomal RNA, 424 nt
Filed under: Verrucomicrobiota bacterium
Lineage: Bacteria; Pseudomonadati; Verrucomicrobiota
Description: Verrucomicrobia bacterium partial 16S ribosomal RNA
Rfam family: Bacterial small subunit ribosomal RNA
Source: RNAcentral